RNAcentral lists this small RNA (839 nucleotides) under Rattus norvegicus (Norway rat). Its description in RNAcentral is "uncharacterized LOC103690865". Lineage: Eukaryota; Metazoa; Chordata; Mammalia; Rodentia; Muridae. The record is from RNAcentral.
AUAGACCAUGUAUGAACCAUCACUGACAGCUAGCAAGACUUAAUACAUGGAUUACUCUAGGAUGUGGGUAUGGGCCUUGGAUAGGGUGGGGCAGGGAAGGAUGUGUCAUAGAAGGAAAGGUGAUAUCAUACCUUCAGCAGGGGAAGUGAUUCCCCUCUGAAGGAGGCUGCAGAGUAGUGGAGUACAGCCUGAUUCACAAAAGGCUACAAGAAAGUUCAGGCUGAAGAUAGAGACGCAGGAGGGGAGACAGAGAGGAGUCUAUUCAGAAUAGAGAAUGUCAGGAUGUCUAAGGAGCAGGGGAGGCUCAGAGGCAGCUGUGUCACCAAAGCAACACUCCAGGAUGAUCGAGGACUCCAGAAAGCUGCAGCCUGAGAGAUCUCUGCAGGACUCGUAGGCCAUGCCAUAGGAUGUGCAGGGAUAAAGAUGGAGCAGAGAUUGAGAGAAUGGCCGACCAAUGACUGCCCAAGGCUUCCAGCAGAAGGUGCAUCCCAGAUUAAAGGUGUGUCUUCCUGCUCAAGAUCCAAAACAAAGGCAUGUGAUGAAAACCUCAAAAGAUUCACACUAGAAGGGGAUUUACCCACUUCAAACCAAGCCAAAAAAAAAAAAAAAAGCCUUAUGGUGUGCCCUCCAUUUCUGGACUAUAGUUCAUUGCCGAUGUUCUCAAGUUGACAAUCAAGAAUAGCCAUCUGACCAUCUGAGGGUGUUUUUAGAGAUGUUUAACUGUGGGAGGGAAGGCCAUUCUUAAGGUGGUUGGCGCUACCCAAAGGGCUGUACUCCACCCCUGAAUAAAAACUGCAAGAAGAGUACCAGUGUUCAGUUCUGUCUGCUUCCUAAGACCA